GAUCCUGGCUCAGAUUGAACGCUGGCGGAAUGCUUUACACAUGCAAGUCGAACGGUAGAGGGGGCAACCCUUGAGAGUGGCGAACGGGUGAGUAAUAUAUCGGAACGUGCCCAGUCGUGGGGGAUAACGUAGCGAAAGUUACGCUAAUACCGCAUACGAUCUAAGGGAUGAAAGCGGGGGACUCGCAAGAGCCUCGCGCGAUUGGAGCGGCCGAUAUCAGAUUAGGUAGUUGGUGGGGUAAAGGCUCACCAAGCCAACGAUCUGUAGCUGGUCUGAGAGGACGACCAGCCACACUGGAACUGAGACACGGUCCAGACUCCUACGGGAGGCAGCAGUGGGGAAUUUUGGACAAUGGACGCAAGUCUGAUCCAGCCAUUCCGCGUGCAGGAUGAAGGCCCUCGGGUUGUAAACUGCUUUUGUACGGAACGAAAAGGUUUCUAUUAAUACUAGGAGCUCAUGACGGUACCGUAAGAAUAAGCACCGGCUAACUACGUG
This 495-nucleotide ribosomal RNA is filed under the name uncultured bacterium. Its description in RNAcentral is "bacterial SSU rRNA". It matches the Rfam family "Bacterial small subunit ribosomal RNA", at positions 15 to 507 of the family's 1533-position model. The record is from RNAcentral.